UCGAAAGAAAGAUUAAUACCGGAUAGCAUACGAAUAUCGCAUGAUAUUUUUAUUAAAGAAUUUCGGUUAUCGAUGGGGAUGCGUUCCAUUAGUUCGUUGGCGGGGUAACGGCCCACCAAGACAACGAUGGAUAGGGGUUCUGAGAGGAAGGUCCCCCACAUUGGAACUGAGACACGGUCCAAACUCCUACGGGAGGCAGCAGUGAGGAAUAUUGGUCAAUGGGCGAGAGCCUGAACCAGCCAAGUAGCGUGAAGGAUGAAGGCUCUAUGGGUCGUAAACUUCUUUUAUAUGGGAAUAAAGUUUUCCACGUGUGGAAUUUUGUAUGUACCAUAUGAAUAAGGAUCGGCUAACUCCGUGCCAGCAGCCGCGGUAAUACGGAGGAUCCGAGCGUUAUCCGGAUUUAUUGGGUUUAAAGGGAGCGUAGGUGGAUUGUUAAGUCAGUUGUGAAAGUUUGCGGCUUAACCGUAAAAUUGCAGUUGAAACUGGGAGUCUUGAGUACAGUAGAGGUGGGCGGAAUUCGUGGUGUAGCGGUGAAAUGCUUAGAUAUCACGAAGAACUCCGAUUGCGAAGGCAGCUCACUAGACUGUCACUGACACUGAUGCUCGAAAGUGUGGGUAUCAAACA
RNAcentral lists this ribosomal RNA (624 nucleotides) under uncultured bacterium. RNAcentral's name for it is "bacterial SSU rRNA". It matches the Rfam family "Bacterial small subunit ribosomal RNA", at positions 151 to 774 of the family's 1533-position model. The record is from RNAcentral.